GCAGCCAGUGGUCACGGAACAGCCUGUAAGACUCCAGAGAAGCCAUUUUACAACAAUGAGACACUCAACAACACCGAUAUUCUAUACAUAUACAACGAGACCAGCCAGGAAUGCGAGUUUGUCCUCAUUGACAAAAAUAUCAGCGGCACAUUCAAAAGCCGCAUAGAGUGCAUGCAAUGCUGCAAUACGGACCAAAAGAUCGAUGGUCCGUCUUGCACCGGUAAGCCGAUAGGCGUCUGCAAUGAGUCUGCUCCGGAACCAAGCUUGGACAGCUACGAUAGCGAAUAUUACGGCUACGGACCACAGUGCGACUACUCAGAUAACGAAACCUACGUUGCCUCCUUUUACAACACAACUUCAGGUGAAUGUGAAGAAUACUGCGCUUGCUCAUAUCCAGACAACAGAACGGAUGAUUUGAAUUUCCAUGUGGGAUUGCAUAAUUGCGAAUUUCAAUGCAGCGGCUAUAACCAAUAUAUGGAGUCAAAAAAGCAAAACAAUAUCACUGUCUAAAGGAAACCUGCCUUAUUCUUAAAAAGAAGAAGAAUUUGUCUUGACCCGGAUUCAUCAAUUUAUCUAUCAAAUUCGGAUACAUCCUGUUCUGUAGAAACAUAUUCACUCAGUUUAUUCUGAAGAAACAACCGGUGCGCUGUUCAUCUAAGUGUUCUAAAGGGCGAAAUGCUUGGUUUACUAUCAUGUGAAUUUGACAA
Molecule: long non-coding RNA, 707 nt
Organism: Dermacentor andersoni
Lineage: Eukaryota; Metazoa; Arthropoda; Arachnida; Ixodida; Ixodidae
Source: RefSeq, a predicted model, not a curated record